RNAcentral lists this ribosomal RNA (797 nucleotides) under uncultured bacterium. Its description in RNAcentral is "bacterial SSU rRNA". It matches the Rfam family "Bacterial small subunit ribosomal RNA", at positions 94 to 894 of the family's 1533-position model. The record is from RNAcentral.
ACCGGCGCACGGGUGCGUAACGCGUAUGCAAUCUACCUUUUACAGAGGGAUAGCCCAGAGAAAUUUGGAUUAAUACCUCAUAGUAUAGUGAUACCGCAUGGUACUACUAUUAAAGUCACAACGGUAAAAGAUGAGCAUGCGUCCCAUUAGCUAGUUGGUAAGGUAACGGCUUACCAAGGCAACGAUGGGUAGGGGUCCUGAGAGGGAGAUCCCCCACACUGGUACUGAGACACGGACCAGACUCCUACGGGAGGCAGCAGUGAGGAAUAUUGGUCAAUGGGCGCAAGCCUGAACCAGCCAUGCCGCGUGCAGGAUGACGGUCCUAUGGAUUGUAAACUGCUUUUGUACAGGAAGAAACAGUUCUACGUGUAGAACCUUGACGGUACUGUAAGAAUAAGGAUCGGCUAACUCCGUGCCAGCAGCCGCGGUAAUACGGAGGAUCCAAGCGUUAUCCGGAAUCAUUGGGUUUAAAGGGUCCGUAGGCGGUUUUGUAAGUCAGUGGUGAAAGCCCAUCGCUCAACGGUGGAACGGCCAUUGAUACUGCAAGACUUGAAUUAUUGGGAAGUAACUAGAAUAUGUAGUGUAGCGGUGAAAUGCUUAGAGAUUACAUGGAAUACCAAUUGCGAAGGCAGGUUACUACCAAUAUAUUGACGCUGAUGGACGAAAGCGUGNGGAGCGAACAGGAUUAGAUACCCUGGUAGUCCACGCCGUAAACGAUGGAUACUAGCUGUUCGGAGCAAUCUGAGUGGCUAAGCGAAAGUGAUAAGUAUCCCACCCUGGGAGUACGUUCGCAAGAA